GCUUAGGCAAGAGGAUCAGUUGAGUCCAGGAAUUCAAGACCAGCCUGGGAAAUAUAGCAAGACUCCCUUCUCCACAAAAAAAGAAAAAAAUAGGCAAAGGACUUGAAUAGAAAUUUCUCGACUGAGUGUGGUGGCUCACACCUGUAAUCCCAGCACUUUGGGAGGCUAAGGCAGGUGGAUCACCUGCGGUCAGGAGUUCGAAACCAGCCUGGCCAACAUGGUGAAACCCAUCUCUACUAAAAAUACAAAAAUUAGCCGGGCAUGGUGACACGUGCAUGUAAUCCCAGCUACUCGGGAGGCUGAGGCAGGAGAAUCGCUUGAACCCGGGAGGCAGAGGUUGCAGUGAGCUGAGAGCGCGCCACUGCACUUCAGCCUGGGCAACAAGAGCAAGACUCCAUCUAAAGGAAAAAGAAAAAGAAAAAAAAAAUUCCCAAAAAGAAAUGGCCAAUAAGCACAUGAAAAGAUAUUCAACAUUGUUAGUCAUUAGGAAAAUGCAAAUCAAAAACACAAUGAGAAACCACUUUACAUCCACAAGAGUGGGUAUAAUAAAAGAAGUGUUGGCCAGGUGCAGUGUAAUCCCCUCAUGCCUGUAAUCCCCAAACUUUGGGAGGCUGAGGCAGGUGGAUCACCUGAGGUCGAGACUUCGAGACCAGCCUGACCAACAUGGAGAAACCCCUCUCUCCUAAAAAUACAAAAUUAGCCGGGCAUGGUGGUACAUGUCUGUAAUCCCAGGUACUUGGGAGACUGAGGCAGGAGAAUCACUUGAACCUGGGAGGCAGAGGUUGCAGGGAGCCAAGAUCAUGCCACUACACUCCAGCCUGGGUAACAAGAGCGAAACUCUGUCUUAAAAAAAAAAAGUGUUGGCAAGGAUGUGGAAAAAAUGAAACAACUGUAUUCACUGCUGGUGGAAAUGUAAAAUGAUCACUGUGGAAAAUCGUUUGGUGGUUCCUCAAGAAAUUAAAUAGAAUUACUAUAUGAUCCAGCAAUUCCACUCCUAGGAAUAGACCCAAAAGAAUUGGAAGCAGGUACUCAAAUAUUUACACAUGAAUGUUCAUAGCAGCACUAGUCACAAUAAAGGUAGAAACAGCUGAUCACAAUGGUUCACUCCUGUAAUCCCAACACUUUGGGAGGUCGAAGUGGGAGGAUUGCUUGAGCACAGGAGUUCAAGACCAGCCUGGACAACAUAGUGAGACAUGGUCUCUGCAAAAAAAUAGAAAAAUCAGCAGGGUGUGGUGGCAUGCACGUAUACUCCCAGCUACUCAGGAAGUUGAGUGAGAGGAUUGCCUGAGCCCAGGAGUACAAGACUGCUGUGAGCUAUGAUCAUGCCACUAUACUCCAGCCUGCGCAACAGAGAGACCCUGUCUGGAGGGGUGGGGGGAGAAAAAAACACCAUAGAAACAACCCAAAUGUCCAAUAACAAAUUGUAGUCCAUCCAUACAAUGGACUACUACUCAGCCAUGAAAAGGAAUACAGCACUCACAUAUGCUGCAUGUGAAUGAACCCUGGAAGCAUUAUGCUCAGUGUAAGAACCCAGACAUAAAAGGUCACACAUUUUAUGAUUCCACCUAUAUGAAAUAUCCAGAAGAGGUAAACCUAUAAAAAUAAAAUGUAUAUUUAUAGCUGCCGGGGGCUUCAGGGUGAAGGCAUAGGAAGAAACUGUUUAAUGGGUACGGAGUUUUAUCUUGCAGCGGUGGAAAUGUUUUGGAACUAAAGUCGUGGUUCUACAACAUUGCAAAUGCACUCGAUGCCACUGAACUGUUCACUUUAAGAUGGUUCGUUAUGUAAAUUUCAUCUUAAUAAAUGCAUGAAGAAAGGGAUUUGUAUGUAUCAAC
RNAcentral lists this long non-coding RNA (1832 nucleotides) under Homo sapiens (human). Its description in RNAcentral is "non-protein coding lnc-CERS4-6:1". Lineage: Eukaryota; Metazoa; Chordata; Mammalia; Primates; Hominidae. The record is from RNAcentral.